CCUACGGGUGGCAGCAGUGAGGAAUAUUGGUCAAUGGACGAAAGUCUGAACCAGCCAAGUCGCGUGAAGGAUGACUGCCCUAUGGGUUGUAAACUGCUUUUAUAUGGGAAUAAACCAGGGUAUGCAUACCCUCUUGUAUGUACCAUAUGAAUAAGGAUCGGCUAACUCCGUGCCAGCAGCCGCGGUAAUACGGAGGAUCCGAGCGUUAUCCGGAUUUAUUGGGUUUAAAGGGUGCGUAGGCGGCCGGUUAAGUCAGCGGUGAAAGUCUGUGGCUCAACCAUAGAAUUGCCGUUGAAACUGGGAGGCUUGAGGAUGUUUGCGGUAGGCGGAAUGCGUGGUGUAGCGGUGAAAUGCUUAGAUAUCAUGCAGAACCCCGAUUGCGAAGGCAGCCUGCCAAGCUACGUCUGACGCUGAUGCACGAAAGCGUGGGGAGCAAACAGGAUUAGAUACCCUAGUAGUC
This 460-nucleotide ribosomal RNA is filed under the name uncultured bacterium. RNAcentral's name for it is "partial 16S ribosomal RNA". It matches the Rfam family "Bacterial small subunit ribosomal RNA", at positions 338 to 795 of the family's 1533-position model. The record is from RNAcentral.